UGACCACUCAAGCCUAGCUUGGUAUUGGGGUUCGCGGUCUCGCGGCUCAUAAAAUCAGUGGCGGUGCCGUCUGGGCUCUAAGCGUAGUAAUUUUCUCGCUAUGGAGUCCGGGUGGUUGCUUGCUAAAACCCUCAACUCCUCGC
RNAcentral lists this unclassified non-coding RNA (143 nucleotides) under uncultured Hyaloscyphaceae. Its description in RNAcentral is "sequence contains ITS2". The record is from RNAcentral. Lineage: Eukaryota; Fungi; Ascomycota; Leotiomycetes; Helotiales.